ACUUAAAUUGAAGAGUUUGAUCAUGGCUCAGAUUGAACGCUGGCGGCAGGCCUAACACAUGCAAGUCGAGCGGU
Molecule: ribosomal RNA, 74 nt
Filed under: Klebsiella pneumoniae
Lineage: Bacteria; Pseudomonadati; Pseudomonadota; Gammaproteobacteria; Enterobacterales; Enterobacteriaceae
Description: partial 16S ribosomal RNA
Rfam family: Bacterial small subunit ribosomal RNA
Source: RNAcentral